This 58-nucleotide transfer RNA is filed under the name Chaetoceros curvisetus. RNAcentral's name for it is "partial tRNA". The record is from RNAcentral. Lineage: Eukaryota; Bacillariophyta; Thalassiosirophyceae; Chaetocerotales; Chaetocerotaceae.
CCUUGGUCUCAUGCUCCGCAAACCCCAAUUCCGGAGUGCGAUGGAGCCUGUGGCGCAG